Molecule: ribosomal RNA, 497 nt
Filed under: uncultured bacterium
Lineage: Bacteria
Description: partial 16S ribosomal RNA
Rfam family: Bacterial small subunit ribosomal RNA
Source: RNAcentral
ACUCAAAUGAAUAGACGGGGGCCCGCACAAGCGGUGGAGUAUGUGGUUUAAUUCGAAGCAACGCGAAGAACCUUACCUAGCCUUGACAUCCUGUGACAGCUUCAGAGAUGAAGUCUUCCCUUCGGGGACACAGAGACAGGUGCUGCAUGGCUGUCGUCAGCUCGUGUUGUGAAAUGUUCGGUUAAGUCCGGCAACGAGCGCAACCCCUGUCCUUAGUUACCAUCAUUAAGUUGGGGACUCUAGGGAGACUGCCGGUGUUAAGCCGGAGGAAGGCGGGGAUGACGUCAAGUCCUCAUGGCCCUUACGGCUAGGGCUACACACGUACUACAAUGGUAGAGACAAGCCGCUGCAAGAUCGAGAGAUCAAGCUAAUCGGUAAAACACUAUCUCAGUCCGGAUUGAGGUCUGCAACUCGACCUCAUGAAGUUGGAAUCGCUAGUAAUCGUGGAUCAGCACGCCACGGUGAAUACGUUCCCGGGCCUUGUACACACCGCCCGU